GCCACCAUAACUCAGUUGGUAGAGUAGCUGAUUCGUAAUCAGCAAGUCGGCGGUUCGACUCCGCCUGGUGGCUCCA
This 76-nucleotide transfer RNA is filed under the name Desulfuromonadales bacterium. RNAcentral describes it as "tRNA-Thr". It matches the Rfam family "tRNA". Rfam says of the family: Transfer RNA (tRNA) molecules are approximately 80 nucleotides in length. Their secondary structure includes four short double-helical elements and three loops (D, anti-codon, and T loops). RNAcentral also lists the same sequence under 2 other names. Lineage: Bacteria; Pseudomonadati; Thermodesulfobacteriota; Desulfuromonadia; Desulfuromonadales. The record is from RNAcentral.